AUUGAACGCUGGCGGCAGGCCUAACACAUGCAAGUCGAGCGGAUGAAGGGAGCUUGCUCCUGGAUUCAGCGGCGGACGGGUGAGUAAUGCCUAGGAAUCUGCCUGUUAGUGGGGGAUAACGUCCGGAAACGGGCGCUAAUACCGCAUACGUCCUGAGUGAGAAAGUGGGGGAUCUUCGGACCUCACGCUAUCAGAUGAGCCUAGGUCGGAUUAGCUAGUUGGUGGGGUAAAGGCCUACCAAGGCGACGAUCCGUAACUGGUCUGAGAGGAUGAUCAGUCACACGGGAAGUGAGACGCGGACCAGACGCCUACGGGAGGCAGCAGUGGGGAAGAUUGGACAAUGGGGGAAAGCCUGACCCAGCCAUGCAGCGUGUGUGAAGAAGGUCUUCGGAUUGUAAAGCACUUUUAGUUGGGAGGAAGGGCAGUAAGAUAAAACCUGGCUGUUUUGACGUUACCAACAGAAUAAGCACCGGCUAACUUCGUG
This 484-nucleotide ribosomal RNA is filed under the name uncultured bacterium. RNAcentral describes it as "partial 16S ribosomal RNA". It matches the Rfam family "Bacterial small subunit ribosomal RNA", at positions 30 to 507 of the family's 1533-position model. The record is from RNAcentral.